This is a long non-coding RNA of Siniperca chuatsi (mandarin fish), 388 nucleotides long. RefSeq lists it as uncharacterized. Lineage: Eukaryota; Metazoa; Chordata; Actinopteri; Centrarchiformes; Sinipercidae. The transcript is spliced from 2 exons. The record is from RefSeq and is a predicted model, not a curated record.
UCUUUCAAUUAAUAUGUUCUAUAAUUUCCAUACAUAUUGUUUCUGUUGUUUUAACAUGUGUUUGUUUAAAUUAAUUCAUGCAUGUUGAGUGCUUAUGUUGAGUGGGAACUAGGGUGCAUAUGUGUUGCACACGGACAUUUUUGAGGGAUGCAAUAGGAAAGAACGGACUUUUGGUGAGAGGUUGGUGUCUCUGCAUGUGAAUUUAAGUUGUGAAGAAGUUGCAAAGAAGACAAGAUGUUUUUUAUUUUUGUAUUUUGAUCGGGGCAUUUAAAGAACUCAUUCCCCCUUGGUUAUAUGCAGCCAGCGAGUUUGACGGUGGAUUUCAUUGACGGUGAACGUGAUAGCGGAGAAAAGAAAGAGAAAGGCAAUAAAUCCAUCAGUAUCCAGA